RNAcentral lists this ribosomal RNA (406 nucleotides) under uncultured bacterium. RNAcentral describes it as "partial 16S ribosomal RNA". It matches the Rfam family "Bacterial small subunit ribosomal RNA", at positions 29 to 526 of the family's 1533-position model. The record is from RNAcentral.
AUUGAACGCUGGCGGCAGGCCUAACACAUGCAAGUCGAGCGAGCGGCGGACGGGUGAGUAAUGUCUGGGAAACUGCCUGAUGGAGGGGGAUAACUACUGGAAACGGUAGCUAAUACCGCAUACCAUCAGAUGUGCCCAGAUGGGAUUAGCUAGUAGGUGGGGUAACGGCUCACCUAGGCGACGAUCCCUAGCUGGUCUGAGAGGAUGACCGGCCACACGGGAACGGAGACACGGUCCAGACUCCUACGGGAGGCAGAAGUGGGGAAGAUUGCACAAGGGGCGAAAGCCUGAUACAGCCAUGCGGCGUGUAUGAAGAAGGCCUUCGGGUUGUAAAGUACUUUCAGCGGGGAGGCGUUACCCGCAGAAGAAGCACCGGCUAACUCCGUGCCAGCAGCCGGGGUAAUAC